UAUUGGACAAUGGGCGCAAGCCUGAUCCAGCAAUGCCGCGUGUGUGAAGAAGGCCUUCGGGUUGUAAAGCACUUUUAUCGGGAGCGAAAUCGUUUCGGCUAAUACCCGGAGCGUCUGACGGUACCCGAUGAAUAAGCACCGGCUAACUCCGUGCCAGCAGCCGCGGUAAUACGGAGGGUGCAAGCGUUAAUCGGAAUUACUGGGCGUAAAGCGUGCGUAGGCGGUUCGUUAAGUCCGUUGUGAAAUCCCCGAGCUCAACUUGGGAAUGGCAGUGGAUACUGGCGGGCUGGAGUGCGGUAGAGGAGGGUGGAAUUCCCGGUGUAGCGGUGAAAUGCGUAGAGAUCGGGAGGAACAUCAGUGGCGAAGGCGGCCCUCUGGACCAGCACUGACGCUGAGGCACGAAAGCGUGGGGAGCAAACAGG
RNAcentral lists this ribosomal RNA (422 nucleotides) under uncultured bacterium. Its description in RNAcentral is "bacterial SSU rRNA". It matches the Rfam family "Bacterial small subunit ribosomal RNA", at positions 362 to 776 of the family's 1533-position model. The record is from RNAcentral.